GAUGAAGAACGUAGCGAAAUGCGAUAAGUAAUGUGAAUUGCAGAAUUCAGUGAAUCAUCGAAUCUUUGAACGCACAUUGCGCCCGGCAGUACUCUGCCGGGCAUGCCUGUUCGAGCGUCAUUUCAACCCUCAAGCCCUGCUUGGUGUUGGGGUCCCACGGCCGCCGUGGGCCCUGAAAGGAAGUGGCGGGCUCGCUACAACUCCGAGCGUAGUAAUUCAUUAUCUCGCUUAGGGCGUUGGGCGGCGCUCCUGCCGUUAAAGAACCCUCUUUAACUCAAGGUUGACCUCGGAUCAGGUAGGAAUACCCGCUGAACUUAAGCAUAUCAAUAAGCGGAGGA
This 338-nucleotide unclassified non-coding RNA is filed under the name soil metagenome. RNAcentral's name for it is "partial contains 5.8S ribosomal RNA, internal transcribed spacer 2, and large subunit ribosomal RNA". The stretch from base 1 to 120 matches the Rfam family "5.8S ribosomal RNA", at positions 35 to 154 of the family's 154-position model. The record is from RNAcentral.